Molecule: ribosomal RNA, 253 nt
Filed under: uncultured bacterium
Lineage: Bacteria
Description: partial 16S ribosomal RNA
Rfam family: Bacterial small subunit ribosomal RNA
Source: RNAcentral
UACGGGGGGGACAAGCGUUGUUCGGAAUUACUGGGCGUAAAGGGCUCGUAGGUGGCCAACUAAGUCACACGUGAAAUCCCUCGGCUUAACCGGGGAACUGCGUGUGAUACUGGAUGGCUUGAAUCCGGGAGAGGGAUGCAGAAUUCCAGGUGUAGCGGUGAAAUGCGUAGAUAUCUGGAGGAAUACCGGUGGCGAAGGCGGCAUCCUGGACCGGCAUUGACGCUGAGGAGCGAAAGCUAGGGGAGCAAACGGG